RNAcentral lists this ribosomal RNA (374 nucleotides) under uncultured eukaryote. Its description in RNAcentral is "partial 18S ribosomal RNA". It matches the Rfam family "Eukaryotic small subunit ribosomal RNA", at positions 592 to 976 of the family's 1831-position model. The record is from RNAcentral.
CAAGAGCGUAUGUAAAAGUUGUUGCAGUUAAAAAGCUCGUAGUUGAACCUUGGGCUUGGUUGGCCGGUCCGCUUUUUUGCGAGUACUGGAUUCAACCGAGCCUUUCCUUCUGGCUAACCAGUCGUUUCGGCGGCUGGCGAACCAGGAUUUUUACUUUGAGAAAAUUAGAGUGUUCAAAGCAGGCAUUAGCUUGAAUAUAUUAGCAUGGAAUAAUAGAAUAGGACGUUAUGGUUCUAUUUUGUUGGUUUCUAGGACCAUCGUAAUGAUUAAUAGGGACGGUCGGGGGCAUCAGUAUUCAGUUGUCAGAGGUGAAAUUCUUGGAUUUACUGAAGACUAACUACUGCGAAAGCAUUUGCCAAGGACGUUUUCAUUAA